AAAAUGGACGAUUUUUUCAUUCAUAUGAAUUUAUAUGCACAUAAUUUUUCUAAUUCUUUAUAUCAGAUUAAUGUAAUAAUGAAGAAAGAAGAGCUACUGAUUUUGAACUCCUUUAAAUAAUAGAAAUAUUUUUCUAAUUCUUUAUAUCAGAUUAGUGUAAUAAUAUAAUGAAGAAAGAAGAGCUACUGAUUUUGAACUCCUUUAAAUAAUGGAAAUAGAAGCAACUGAUAAAUAUGAUUAAAACUUAUUAUUUAUUAGAUAAUGAAGAAAGAAGAGCUACUGAUUUUGAACUCCUUUAAAUAAUGGAAAUAGAAGCAACUGAUAAAUAUAAUUAAAAUUUAUUAUUUAUUAGAUAAUGAAGAAAGAAGAGCUACUGAUUUUGAACUCCUUUAAAUAAUGGAAAUAUUUUUCUAAUUCUUUAUAUCAGAUUAGUAUAAUGAAGAAAGAAGAGCUACUGAUUUUGAACUCCUUUAAAUAAUGGAAAUAGAAGCAACUGAUGAUUAAAAUUUAUUAUUUAUUAGAUAAUGAAGAAAGAAGAGCUACUGAUUUUGAACUCCUUUAAAUAAUGGAAAUAGAAGCAACUGAUAAAUAUGAUUACAAUUUAUUAUUCAUUAGAUAAUUAUAACUUAUAAAUAAAAUUAAUUGAUAAUUUGGUCAGAAUAUUAUAUUUUAUUAUACAUCUAUAUUAUAAUUAUACAUAAGUUUUAUAUAACAAGAUGCUUUAUCAGCAAAUAAAUAUUUAUUUAUA
Molecule: long non-coding RNA, 748 nt
Organism: Gordionus sp. m RMFG-2023
Lineage: Eukaryota; Metazoa; Nematomorpha; Gordioida; Chordodea; Parachordodidae
Exons: 4
Source: RefSeq, a predicted model, not a curated record